This is a long non-coding RNA of Cyprinus carpio (common carp), 633 nucleotides long. RefSeq lists it as uncharacterized. The record is from RefSeq and is a predicted model, not a curated record. The transcript has 3 exons. Lineage: Eukaryota; Metazoa; Chordata; Actinopteri; Cypriniformes; Cyprinidae.
ACAGCCUAGCCAGUAUUCACAAUCAUAUGGCAUUCACAUCACAUUUAAUGUGAUGCAUUUCUGACUGAAACAAAAUUUUCAGAGAAAAAUAAUGACUUGAUUUUAUCCAUGGGGUUUUGAUUGGAUUGUGAAAACAGGGCUGUGAUAUUAUUGGUCCUCUCCAUCAGUGGCUGUCACAGUCUCUGUCCUCCCCAUUGGACCGGCACUAUCUGGAGGAUUGCACAGAGCUGGAAAACAAUAAAUGAGUGUCUAUCAUCUUGAGAUGAUAAGCAUCUGGUGCUAGAGGUAAUAAUGAGAUAAGAAUGAGAUCUGGGGCCUUCAUGCACUUGGCAGAAUUUCACCCUAAAAGUAAGGGAACGCACAGGCGGCAGAUUCUGAUUUUGCACAAAGGGCUUAUAAAACUAACAAUCAACCCUGUCUCUGACUCGUUUCAGUCGCUCUGCCAAGUGUAGCGUUUUAUGUGCUGCAAAAUGUGAAAGGUUUUCUAUGGGUCUUAAAAAGGUCUUAAAAUGUCUUAAUUCACCCUUCCACAAAUAAAGGCCUAAAAAAUGUCUUAAAUCGGAGUAGAAAGUCAAAACUUCAUAAAGUCAUGGCAUUAAAUGUUGCAGGCACUGAAAAAAAAUAAUAAAAUAA